UACGAAGGGGGGCUAGCGUUGUUCGGAAUUACUGGGCGUAAAGCGCACGUAGGCGGCCAACUAAGUCGGAUGUGAAAUCCCCAGGCUCAACUUGGGAACUGCAUCCGAUACUGGAUGGCUUGAAUUCGGGAGAGGGAUGCAGAAUUCCAGGUGUAGCGGUGAAAUGCGUAGAUAUCUGGAGGAAUACCGGUGGCGAAGGCGGCAUCCUGGACCGACAUUGACGCGUGAGGAGGCGAAAAGCUAGGGGAGCAAACGGG
Molecule: ribosomal RNA, 257 nt
Filed under: uncultured bacterium
Lineage: Bacteria
Description: partial 16S ribosomal RNA
Rfam family: Bacterial small subunit ribosomal RNA
Source: RNAcentral